AGUGAACGCUGGCGGUAGGCCUAACACAUGCAAGUCGAACGGCAGCACAGUAAGAGCUUGCUCUUACGGGUGGCGAGUGGCGGACGGGUGAGGAAUACAUCGGAAUCUACUUUUUCGUGGGGGAUAACGUAGGGAAACUUACGCUAAUACCGCAUACGACCUACGGGUGAAAGCAGUGGAUCUUCGGACCUUGCGCGAUUGAAUGAGCCGAUGUCGGAUUAGCUAGUUGUCGGGGUAAAGGCCCACCAAGGCGACGAUCCGUAGCUGGUCUGAGAGGAUGAUCAGCCACACUGGGACUGAGACACGGUCCAGACUCCUACGGGAGGCAGCAGUGGGGAAUAUUGGACAAUGGGCGCAAGCCUGAUCCAGCCAUACCGCGUGGGUGAAGAAGGCCUUCGGGUUGUAAAGCCCUUUUGUUGGGAAAGAAAAGCAGCAGGUUAAUACCCCGCUGUUCUGACGGUACCCAAAGAAUAAGCACCGGCUAACUUCGUG
RNAcentral lists this ribosomal RNA (492 nucleotides) under uncultured bacterium. RNAcentral describes it as "partial 16S ribosomal RNA". It matches the Rfam family "Bacterial small subunit ribosomal RNA", at positions 29 to 507 of the family's 1533-position model. The record is from RNAcentral.